This 241-nucleotide unclassified non-coding RNA is filed under the name uncultured Pleosporales. Its description in RNAcentral is "sequence contains 5.8S rRNA gene, ITS2, 28S rRNA gene". Lineage: Eukaryota; Fungi; Ascomycota; Dothideomycetes; Pleosporales. The record is from RNAcentral.
AACGCACAUUGCGCCCCUUGGUAUUCCAUGGGGCAUGCCUGUUCGAGCGUCAUUUGUACCUCCAAGCUCUGCUUGGCGAUGGGUGUUUGUCCACCACUUGGACUCGCCUCAAAUACAUUGGCAGCCUGUAAUCGGGUGAUAGAGCGCAGCACAUUUGCGAGCUUCUCACUAUAACAGGCGUCCACAAGCCUACCAUCUCACGGUUGACCUCGGAUCAGGUAGGGAUACCCGCUGAACUUAA